CUGCGGAAGGUCAUUACCUAGAGUUUGUGGGCUUUGCCCACUGUCUCUUACCCAUGUCUUUUGAGUACUUACGUUUCCUCGGUGGGCUCGCCCGCCGGUUGGACAAUUUAAACCAUUUGCAGUUGCAAUCAGCGUCUGAAAAACAUAAUAGUUACAACUUUCAACAACGGAUCUCUUGGUUCUGGCAUCGAUGAAGAACGCAGCGAAAUGCGAUAAGUAGUGUGAAUUGCAGAAUUCAGUGAAUCAUCGAAUCUUUGAACGCACAUUGCGCCCCUUGGUAUUCCAUGGGGCAUGCCUGUUCGAGCGUCAUUUGUACCUUCAAGCUCUGCUUGGUGUUGGGUGUUUGUCUCGCCUUGCGCGUAGACUCGCCUUAAAACAAUUGGCAGCCGGCGUAUUGAUUUCGGAGCGCAGUACAUCUCGCGCUUUGCACUCAUAACGACGACGUCCAAAAGUACUUUUUACACUCUUGACCUCGGAUCAGGUAGGGAUACCCGCUGAACUUAAGCAUAUCAAUAAGCGGAGGAAAAGAAACCAACAGGGAUUGCCCUAGUAACGGCGAGUGAAGCGGCAACAGCUCAAAUUUGAAAUCUGGCGUCUUUGGCGUCCGAGUUGUAAUUUGCAGAGGGCGCUUUGGCAUUGGCAGCGGUCCAAGUUCCUUGGAACAGGACGUCACAGAGGGUGAGAAUCCCGUACGUGGUCGCUAGCCUUUACCGUGUAAAGCCCCUUCGACGAGUCGAGUUGUUUGGGAAUGCAGCUCUAAAUGGGAGGUAAAUUUCUUCUAAAGCUAA
RNAcentral lists this ribosomal RNA (788 nucleotides) under fungal sp. RNAcentral's name for it is "eukaryotic LSU rRNA". The stretch from base 468 to 788 matches the Rfam family "Eukaryotic large subunit ribosomal RNA", at positions 1 to 319 of the family's 3401-position model. The record is from RNAcentral. Lineage: Eukaryota; Fungi.